GUUAAUAUGCAGCAAAUUUCUCAGAAUAUCAACGUCAAGAAGAAAAUGGAAAAAUGUAUACAAAAAAAUUCUGUUUUGGAACAAAAGAAUGAUGUAGGAAAAUGUGACAAUACUGAAAAUGCAUUGAAUGGACAGAUGCAAAGCACAUGUAACCUGAAAUUUGGAGAACAGAAUGACAAGGAUAAACACUUGCUGUUAGCGGCCGAAGAUGGAAUCAAGGAUUUACAGCUGAGAGUCUUGAGG
Long non-coding RNA from Ochotona princeps (American pika), 243 nucleotides. RefSeq lists it as uncharacterized. The record is from RefSeq and is a predicted model, not a curated record. Lineage: Eukaryota; Metazoa; Chordata; Mammalia; Lagomorpha; Ochotonidae. The transcript has 3 exons.